GAAGAGGCCAAAUGAAAUUGAAGAAAAAUCUCAGACCUAGACUGACUGACUGUUGGGUUCUGAUUGGAAUCAUCUAGAUGAAAGGGUUCCUCUCUGAAUGCAAGCCCCCUUCACGGUCACCAUCCAGGUUCCUCUCAGAAUGCAAGUCACGGUCACCAUCCAGGUUCCUCUCUGAAUUCAAGCCCCCUUCACGGUCACCAUCCAGGUUCCUCUCAGAAAUCAAGUCACGGUCACCAUCCAGGUUCCUCUCAGAAUGCAAGUCCUCGUCACGGUCACCAUCCAGGUUCCUCUCAGAAUGCAAGUCCCCGUCACGGUCACUGUCCACGUUCCUCUCAGAAUGUAAGCCCCCUCGUGGUCACCAUUCAUCCUCCAGCCAGGGGAGAAGAGAUGAGCCAACAGCCAGGCACCAUAGCUCUCCCAUGGAUGAAUGGAACAAGCGGUGGUCAGGAGAGACGUGAUUCGUAAGCAUAUCAGUUGGCCAUGACAGGAUACACCAGACAGAACAGUAGUUGAUGUCAACCUGCAAAGACAAUACUUUUCCCUCAAACCUGACAUCGUGCCUAUGCUGUUCUUUAA
Non-coding RNA from Oncorhynchus mykiss (rainbow trout), 576 nucleotides. NCBI's taxonomy places the organism in Eukaryota, Metazoa, Chordata, Actinopteri, Salmoniformes, Salmonidae. The record is from RefSeq and is a predicted model, not a curated record.